GGGCGAUGGAAGAAGGCUAAAGGAGUCUGAAUGAUUUAUGUACUGCCUGAACAGAUUUUCAGCAAACAAAAAAGUUUUCAGUGCCAGACCAAGAAUAUCUGAGCUGUGUCUGUGUUUUGGAAGGAAUGCAACGUGCAGGAGGGAAGGAUGUGUCCUCUUCCCUUUAGGAGGGGACUUCAUAGAGUAGAAUUAUUUAGGAUGGAUAAGAUCUCUGAGAUCAUGGAGUCCUACCAUUAACCCAACACUGCUGAAUCAUCACGUCACAGAGUGCCACAUCUACACUCCUUUUAAAUAUCUCCAGGGGUGGUGACUUUACCACUUCCCAG
This 326-nucleotide long non-coding RNA is filed under the name Chloebia gouldiae (Gouldian finch). RNAcentral describes it as "Erythrura gouldiae (Gouldian finch) lncRNA (ENSEGOG00005012064.1)". The record is from RNAcentral. Lineage: Eukaryota; Metazoa; Chordata; Aves; Passeriformes; Passeridae.